Molecule: non-coding RNA, 8426 nt
Organism: Coturnix japonica (Japanese quail)
Lineage: Eukaryota; Metazoa; Chordata; Aves; Galliformes; Phasianidae
Source: RefSeq, a predicted model, not a curated record
CUUAGAGGAAUGAAAAGCAAAGAUGACUCAUUUCCCAGAAAGCAGUAUAGUCAAAGGAAGAAAGUUACUAUAAUGGCAGAUGAAACCGUUAUACAUGAAAGGAAACUUCUGACUACGCUGACACUGUGAAGUUGUGUUUAGCGGCUUGAAGCCAUUUCUGCAGCAAGAAGACAGGGAGGUUAUUCCCGAGCACAGUCCCACCAAUCAGCCUGGUUUUGAGCCCUCAGCAUUGCUCGCUAAGCCUAUUACUAGUGCUGAAGCAACCUGUCACAACCUGUUGAGCUGCCCCAGGUUCCAUCCCAUGACAUGGACGUACCAGCUUUGCACAAUGCCUGGUGGCACAUCCCUCCAAAAGGAAGUGGGAAGAUUAAAGAAAGAUACUGAGGACCUGGAAUGUGCCCAGAGGGGGGCAAUGAAGCUGUGAAUGGUUUGGAGCACAAGUCUUGUGGAGAGCGGCAGAGGGAACUGGUGUUGAACACUCUGGAAAAGAGGAGGCUCAAGGGAGACCUUAUUGCUCUCUACAGUGCCCUGAAAGGAGGCUGUGGUGAGCCUUUAUGAUUCUAUGUGGAAGAUGGCAUGGAAAUAGUGCCUCAUCAAUGUUUCCUGGGGGAAAAACUGGAAUAGCACUGGAAAAAUGGGCUAUGCUGGGCUUUGCUGCCUAAAAACCAGAGCAGAGACAGGCCUUCUGAGAGAGAUUAUUCCAGCAAAAAUACUGCAUGAUCAGAGGCAGUUCCACUGAGUAAAAUAUAAAUGCAAUAGAAAAUACAGACUUCGAGGAGCAUCCAUUGUCCCCUCCAGGUCAAGCAGUGAUCUUGAAAGAUGAACCAGCAUGGAGAGAGCUCAGAAGGAGCGAUGUGAGCACAUCUACUGGUGGAAUAUCUGCUCCUGCAGUGGCACACAAGUCAGGUUGUCCGACAGAAAAUUGGAAUGGUAAUGAGGAAUAAGAGAAGAGAGAAAGCAAAAAGGAAUACUUCGUACUCACAUCAUAACAAGUCUUAAGAGAAGGGGAUGGGAGAUAAUGUCACUGCCAGUUCAAAAGGUGGAUACAAAAAUAUAAUGAAGGUGCCUGUAUUUCAACACGUUGUCCAGAAAGUGCACUAGCAUCUGAAAGUACAAAAAUACUCAGAACAAUCUAGCAUUUUCAGGAUGUAAGUGUGUUUCUACCUGUUAAAAGGAAAGGCGAGAGAGAGAAUCCAGUUGCUAUGGAAAUCAGGCCAUCUCCAUGGGAAUUCAGAAAGUAGAGUAUCCUCUUGGCCAGUAAAUCAGACACUGAGCAGCCAUUUCUGGACCAUGGCACUGAGCAAAUCUAAGCUGCUCACAGGACAGUUUGUUUCCUCAGCACUGCUGCCCUAUCUCAGUAUCAAUGAAAUGGGUGGAAAAAAAAAAGGGUUAUUGGUGAAAUUAAGAAUUUGCUUUGUAGAAUGUAAGGAAGGUUCAGGGGAGAACUGCUAGCAGCCUUUCAGUAUCUAAAGGGGGAGUCAAUAAGAAAGGGACAGAUUCUUUAGCAGGGUCUGCUGUGACAGGACAAGGGGAUAUGGGAUGUGGUUUUAUUUCCCCUAAACUGAAAGAGGGGAGAUUUACACUGGAUAUAAGGAAAAAGUUUUGUACAUUAAGACCAGUGAGGCUCUGGCACGGGCUGCCCUGGGAGGUGGUGGGUGCCCCAUCCCUGGAGACAGCUGAGGUCAGCCUGGAUGGGCUCUGAGCACCUGACGGAGCUGUGGGUGUCCAUGUUCAGUGCAAGGGCAGUUGGACCAGAUGGCUUUUAAAGGAUCCUUCCAACUCAAACAAUUCCAUGAUUCUCUGAUUCUCCUGCAUGUUUCUGUGGAGAUGUGUUUUGUGCCUUUGCUUUAGCUACAGUUAUUGGGAUUUACGUGGCUGGAAAAAUAAUAAUGGACCUCUUGAUUUUGCUUCUCAGCAAAUAUUUUUUUAUUCACAUUAGUUGCUGUGGAAAAACAAAGGAUCAGAUAGGUGUAUAUGCAGGAAAUAAAAGGAAACAAAGGCCACAUUAAAGAAUAUAAAAGGAGGAGCUGAUGUACAAACCCACACCUCGUCCAGGACUCCCCUCUUCGCGUUAAUGGACAAAUAUUCGUGGUGCCACUGGAGGAUCCAAUUCCCUUGCCAUAGGCAGCAGCCUCCAGCUCUGCUGCUCCUGAUUGCUUAGAGGUUGGGGCCCCACAGAGGCCCCCAAGCACAGCUCUUCCAGUCAGCGCCCCACAGCAAGGUUCACUCUGCUGUCACCUGAUGUAUGAGAUUGAGAAGCUUUGAGACUUUUGAGAUUUUGAUGCUUUGCUACAGAGCUUUCUUCUGUUUCAUCAUUGCAUUUAAUCACUGGUGGGCAGCUGGUCCCUAGAGCCCGGGAGGUUGGGUACUGCUGGAGUUGAAAGCUUUGGCAUGAGCGCCAGUGUGCAGACGAUGGAAAGCAGGUGAUGGAUUUACAGUGCUGAAAUCCUUGCUAUGACUGCUAUGCAAACACCAUAUAUUAUAGCUGUAAGUCCUGCAUAAGCCAAGAAGAUUAAAAAACACCUUGUAGAAAAGAGCUCCGGUCGGAUAUGCCUUUGUUCACGAGGACAACUAUGCAGUGGUACUAAUGCAUGGAUGUCAUUUAGUGCUGGGGGAGUUAAUGGGGCUUUAUUUGAAUAUAUUUCAGCUGCAUGAGUAAGGCUCACAGGCAGAAGUGUCUGUCUGGUGAACGUGUGUUGGAGGACACUGUCUGACAUUGAUGGAAAGCUGCUUGAUAGAGUUUCAUCUUUCAAUUCAUUUAGAUUUUUAAAGCUCAGGUUAAGUUGCCCAACUUAAUUUGCAAUCAUUUAAAGUAGGAGUUAAGUGAAGGUCACAGGCUGCUCUAAAUUAGAGGGAAACCACUGUAGCACUUGCAUGCUUUGACCUUUUCAGUGUUUUCUGACUCUGCUGACCAGCUGAGCUCUUUAUAGCACUGUUAACCUGUGAGAAAUGUGUGAAGUGGUCAUUUCCCACAGUAAAGCAGGAAAUUUUGAAAGGUUAAAGUAGCAGUGAAUAUUCCUGGCAAGAGCGAGUACGGAAUCCCUUGGAACUGAUGAUUUGUGUGUACGUGCAUCUUCCUGCUUUGCAGUGUUUGUGUUAGAAGGAAAGAGAAGAGGAUGCAAAGCAGGGCUGUAGGCAGCCCACCCGAGCUCUCUCUGCAGGUUAUCCCAGAAAUCAGCUUGGUGCAUAGGGUGCUCUAAUACCCACAGGAAUCCACGCUGUCUCAGAGCUCUAAAAAAUGAUACUACAAAAAUCCCAGAAGUAACAUCAAACUCAGGACAUGGGUCUUUCCUAGAUUCCAUAUGCAGAACUUGGGGAAAAGACAGAUCUCCGUGUUCCCCCAUCCCUGGUGAUGGUCAAGGCCAGGUUGGAUUUGGCUCUGGGCAGCCUCAUCUGGUGGGUGGCAGCCAGCCCACAGCACGGAUUGGUCCUUUCCAAUCUAAGCCAUUCUAUGAAUCUGUGAUGUACCUGAUGUUAACAGCAGUGAGCCCAGGCAGUGCAGUAGAUGGGAUGUGCUAUUGCAGUGCUCAAAGAGUAAAAUCCCUAUGCUCCGUGCCUCAUCUUUUUUAUGUACUUGUUUUCUUCCUUCCUGGUGUUUACGAUCCAGCUGCACGUUCUGCAGCUCUCUUCUACCUUUAAUGAGGCAAAAUGGAAAAGCUGUAAAACAGGGCCACCAUCAGUGUAGCGUCCUGGGGCUGCCAUAAUGAGAAGUUUCUGGUCCUCAUGAUACAAUAUCUUGGUGGCAGUGUCUAGUCCCACUUUCUUUGUGCAUAGGGCCAACAUAGGACAGCCCCUUUCUUCCAUUUCCUCCUGAUCACGGGGGUACAAGGCAGCUGUCAGAUGCUCAUUUGGAUUUUGUGGAUGUCACAGAUACCCAGAGAGUGGAAAGAAAAAGGCAGUUUGCUCUGAGAAACAAGAAGGGCUUUAUUUUGUUGCAAUACAUUCUAAAUAUACAGUAAGGGUCAAAAGUCUCUUCUGUUGCCCUAGGACUCCUGAUUGCUGCAGGCUAAGCCACCAACUCUGAGGGUCUGUGUAAGAGGGCAGAAAUGAGUAGCUCAUCGUUAAGCAUCCUGUUUGUCCAAUGCAUUGGUCAGGGGCUGACAGUUUCCAUUCUGGAGCUCUCAGACAAUAAAGCAGCUCCUGAGCAUCCCUGCAAGGUGGUGCGGGUCACACCAGCCUCCUCCAUCCCCAUGAAGCUUAGAAAAGCACAGAAAUGCCAGUUGCCUUUCCAGACCACCUUCCAGCAUGGCAGGGAAAGGGCUGGCGUUACACAUGCUGAUAGCGAUAGUACAUGAUAUGCAGUCAGCAGUUUGUUGCAAUCAGAGCUUCUGCUGAGCACGUCGAAAGCCUGCCCCUUUCCUGUUAAUUGAAUGUAAGCCCUUCGGUACUUCUCUCCCUUUGAUCUCUCUCGGAAUGAGACUUAAGGCUAUUAAGGCAGAGGAACCAGCGAGCACAAUGCUGGCAGUAAUCUGUGUCAGGAUGAAGGGAUGUUACGCAAGAGACCAGGAAUGAGAUGCAGUGUGAUUUUUUUCUCUCUCUCUCCCCUCCCCACCCCACCAAUACACACACACACAUUUUCUCAUCUAAUCCCAAGGGGUUCUUUGUAAUAUUUGCUGGAUGGCAACUACAAACACCGGUGGACGCAAGGAGAAAAAACGUCAUGCAACAAACAUGUAGAAAAGCUCGUUUGCCCUGAAACACUGCAUCUCUCCAGCAAAACCUGCCUGCUUACAGGGGAUACAAAUGACUCUUUGAAGCAAAUGCACGUUACUGUGUUCAGCGUGCAGCAUUACUGCAGGAUUUAAACAUAGCAAAGCAGAGGGAAUUGCUGAUCACAUUGGAACCAAAAUGAGAAUAAAUGCAUGAUAAGAAAAAAUAGAUUAGAAGAUAAUUACUUCAAUUCAUUUUGUACCUGGAGCAAUUACUGUUUGGAUUAGAGAUGACUUGUAGGUGAAAUAGUUAGGUCUGCAAUAGAAACUGUAGACACAAUGUUAAUAGUUAAAAUGUCAGUGCAAAGCUUCAUUAAAGGAGAAACCCAGCUCCAAACUUGGUUUGGUAUUUUCUUCCAUGAUUACCACAGUGAGCACUUAUGUAACACGCUGCAUAUUUCAAAGCAAGUUAUAAAAUUAGCUAGGAAGAGCACGUAAUGCCUCUUUGCAGAGCUGGAGGUGAGCAUGCAGCACCUUUCAGAUGGUGCUCAGAAUACCGUAACAUCCCUAGCUUCUAAUUUAGGGAUCUAAAAUUACGAAGCCAAGGAAUCUGAUUCUGGGACCUAUAAAAAUGCCUAUUUUUAAUCUGUCAGGACACACAUAGGAGAGAGAGACGCAAAGAGAGGACAUAGUUAUUAUUUCAUUGCUGAAGUUCGUUGGGAUUUUUCUGAACACUGUUCCUAUGAACCUGGAAGGAGAAAGGCUGAAGGAGAAGAAAACCUGAAACAUUUCAGCCUGCUUUUAUUUUCUGGUUAAAAAUUAAAGAAGAAAGAAGUUAUGUAGAGCAGGCGAAAUAAACACCUGAAUCUUAAAAGACUGAAAAGGCAUUUUGUAGCCACUGACCAGAGCUGAAGACAUACAGAAUAAAGCUGGCAAUUGAUAUGUGUUGCAAAACCUCAUGCCAAGUAAAAACCUGACCUGUAUUUCAGCAGCUGCAGGCACCUUUCUGGUAUCUUCCCAGCAGUGCUGGGAGGUGUUCAGCCGAACAGCAAAGCCAUGUGUGCUGCAAGUCCCCAGCCUCCCUUUAGGGGACAGAGCUUCCCGAUGGCUGCUUUGAUUGUCUGUUUUCAAAAUACAAUCACAUGUGGAUAUUAAAAAUAGCAUCAUGCUGAGUUGCUUCCUGUGAAAACAGGUUCCAGUGCUAGGAAACUAAACACAAUUUUAAACGUUAUCAUCCAACUAAUCGUGUUGUUAUUCCAUUUCAGUCCAUAUAAUUUCUCUGGUAUGAACCUGGGUCACUUUUGCAUAUGUCCAAUCUAUUUUAUAUAUAUAUGUUGACUCUAUUUGCACACUCAGAUGGGAGACAUAUGCCUCUUCUCAUUUGGGCAGGCCAUAGCGUUAUUAAAAUGGAAAUGUGCAGGCUUUGGGAUCCAACUGCAACAUAUGUUUAAAAAUGAAAGAUAAUUCUUUAGUUGUAACUACCAGAAGAACUUGGAGCUUUUGACUCCGUGUAUAAUUACCACAAGACCUUAGCAGCUUAAUUCACCAGGUAAUUACAUGGUUAUUUUUUGUUCUAUAAAAGGUAAAGAGGUAACAUUUAAUUUACAGGGUGCUGCAUAAUCCUGUAAUUACUUGGUAAUUUCCGUGUCGUCACACAAUAAAAGCAGGGGCCUUCCCAUGGCCCAGAUAUGACAUGAUGGAAACUCAAAUUCUGCUCAGCACCAUCAGGAAAACAGAGGGAUUUCUUUGCCUCCUUGAGAUGUGAAGCUCAGGGAACGAGAAGUUGAGAAACUGAAGGAUGUGGACCAGUUUGCAAACAAGAGAUUCUCCGCCCCCUCCCCGUCAUGGCACCAUUCACCUCCAGCUCUUCAGAACAGCAGCCCCUGGGAUCAGACCACAGUGCCUCUUCCUUGCUCCUUGCCAUUGCAGCUCAUGUGUUAGCAGUAUUCUCCCCUCCCAACAGAAGGAAAAACACCUGUGAUGUGGUUUUGGGUUCUGCUAUUGGAUGAUUAUGGCUUUUAUUGCCCAACAUUUUGAUUACACAGAUAAUUCCUCCAGGUCUCAUCAUAGAGGAGCAGUAGCAACUAUAAAAGGAUGGCAACUCUUGCCGGAAGCAAACCCCUUUACAUUCAUUGCAUAACUGCAGCUGAGCUGCCCAUCACUCAAUACGCCAAUGUCCUGUCCUGGAUGCAAAUGUCAGCCUGGACAUUUCUGACCACACUUGUGUGUUCUCUCCUCUGUCCUUCUGCUGCUCCUUUCACAGAGCCUUAGCACAUUAUACUUCUUCACCUGCAGCUUUCAACACCAUAUUCUGUCAAAUAAGGCUUUGCAAAUAUAUGUCGAUUGCUCCAAAAGUACUGCCUCCUGUUUAUUUCCAUUAAAAAUCACAGCAGAUAGAGCACAAUAACAUUAUUACUUUUGGAACAGUUCUCAUACAUGCUCUAUGUACCAAGAAAAGACCAUCCAGAGAGUGUGGUUGCAACCUCUUACACCCAGGCAUCACUCUCCUCUGCAAAUCAUGCUGUGUUCAAAAAGACCCUUUAAAAUAGCAGGUUCCAUCCCUUGAGCACCUGCAAUUUCCAUCAUAUUCAAAAGGACUCGCAUUCAAACGCAGUGUGACAUUGGCUUUGGGCAGGAACGGUGUGAGAAAGUUCCUCUCCCCAAAGUCCUAUGGGAGGGCUCGUUCUGGGCUGAGCCCGCAGCCAAGUGAGCAGAGCACAUUUAUAUAAAUAAAAGCAGCACCUGCACUUCCUAACAAUAAAAUAAAGAGCCUAUUAGUCUUCAUGCUGCAGGGUAUCAGGAAAUAAUCUCCCCCAGCCUGGGACAGCAAUGCACAACCACCUCAUUACAGUGUGAGCUCUCUUCCUUUCCCGGGAGUGCUUUUUCAGCCCCUUUUCCUCAUUGGUGUCACUGUUUCCAUGCUGGGAGCAGGUACAGCACAGAAGCAAAUGGGACUUCUAAGGUUUAGCACACAGCUGUGCUAUGUACACAGCUCUGAUUAAGAAAUAUCUUUAUUCUGCCCAUAUACUGCAGGCAUCCACUCCUACCACUCUUGACACGAUAACCCAUAAAAGCUAUGGACUAAUGCAUUAAUAAUCCACGAGUAAAGGUCCCAAAGUGCCCAUUGACAUUAUAGCCAUUAAGGUGCAGUGUGUCAAUAACAAUACAUAGCACGAGAGCAGACAUGCUGCCUGCAUGAACGCGAGUGCGCAUACCCACUGCUGUUUAAUCCUACGCAGUCACAUCAGCUCCUCUCUGAUCUUAGGGGACUAACGUGACAAAAAUCCCUUACGACUGCUACCGUGUGCGUUUAACGAGGAAGAACGAGCUGCUUCAGCCUGGGAAGGACAGAGAGGCUCUCAGCCUGAUGCCUCUCACACGUGUGACCAUUUAUUGGGAUGACACUGCCUGGCCACACUGUUAAUUUCAAUGGCAUGUUCUGUUAACAGUGCCCUGCUCUGGGAUGCCAGCUAUGCACAGUCCUAGACAUCUUCCUUGGAGGUGGAGAUAUUCCACGUAGGCCUAUAAAAAAGGAAAAUUAAUUGUGUCUACACACCCACACAUUUUCUUAAAAUACCACUAAUAUUUUACAUUCCUCCAAUGGCUUUUAACUGAGAAGUUUAUAAAGCAGUUUGAAACCCCAACAUCGACCCUGCUCCCUAGAAGAGAGCCCUUCCUGCACUGCAGUGUCCAGCAGCGUGUCAGAACAGGGGACUUGGUACAAGGAUGAGUCUGGCCAUCUCUUCACCAACAGCUGAUGAGCAGCAGGUGGUUUAA